This 486-nucleotide ribosomal RNA is filed under the name uncultured bacterium. Its description in RNAcentral is "partial 16S ribosomal RNA". It matches the Rfam family "Bacterial small subunit ribosomal RNA", at positions 28 to 507 of the family's 1533-position model. The record is from RNAcentral.
GAUGAACGCUGGCGGCGUGCCUAAUACAUGCAAGUCGAACGCUGGAACUCUAGCUUGCUAGAUUGAAGGAGUGGCGAACGGGUGAGUAAUACAUAAGCAACCUACCCACGAAGACUGGGAUAAUCUCUGGAAACGGGGACUAAUACCGGAUAGGUAAUCGGAAGGCAUCUUCUGAUUAUUAAAGGUUAAAAACACUGGUGGAUGGGCUUAUGGCGCAUUAGUUAGUUGGUGAGGUAACGGCCCACCAAGACGAUGAUGCGUAGCCGGCCUGAGAGGGUGAACGGCCAGAGUGGGACUGGGACACGGCCCAGACGCCUACGGGAGGCAGCAGUACGGAAGUCUCGGGAAUGGGGGAAAGCCUGACCGAGCAACGCCGCGUGAGUGAUGACGGCCUGCGGGUUGUAAAGCUCUGUUGUAAGGGAAGAACGGUAGAUAGAGAAUAUCUAAAUGACGGUACCUUACCAGAAAGCAACGGCUAACUACGUG